RNAcentral lists this ribosomal RNA (498 nucleotides) under uncultured Glomeromycotina. RNAcentral's name for it is "partial small subunit ribosomal RNA". It matches the Rfam family "Eukaryotic small subunit ribosomal RNA", at positions 591 to 1092 of the family's 1831-position model. Lineage: Eukaryota; Fungi; Glomeromycota. The record is from RNAcentral.
CCAAUAGCGUAUAUUAAAGUUGUUGCAGUUAAAAAGCUCGUAGUUGAAUUUCGGGGUUAGUACGCUGGUCAUGCCUUCGGUAUGUACUGGUGUUACCGAUUCCUACCUUCUGAAGAACCGUCAUGUCAUUUAUUUGGUGUGGCGGGGAAUCAGGACUGUUACUUUGAAAAAAUUAGAGUGUUUAAAGCAGGCUCGCGCUUGAAUACAUUAGCAUGGAAUAAUGAAAUAGGACGUUCGAUCCUAUUUUGUUGGUUUCUAGGAUUGACGUAAUGAUUAAUAGGGAUAGUUGGGGGCAUUAGUAUUCAAUUGUCAGAGGUGAAAUUCUUGGAUUUAUUGAAGACUAACUACUGCGAAAGCAUUUGCCAAGGAUGUUUUCAUUAAUCAAGAACGAAAGUUAGGGGAUCGAAGACGAUCAGAUACCGUCGUAGUCUUAACCAUAAACUAUGCCGACUAGGGAUCGGAUGAUGUUAUUUUUAAUGACUCAUUCAGCGCCUUACG